RNAcentral lists this ribosomal RNA (465 nucleotides) under uncultured bacterium. RNAcentral's name for it is "partial 16S ribosomal RNA". It matches the Rfam family "Bacterial small subunit ribosomal RNA", at positions 339 to 795 of the family's 1533-position model. The record is from RNAcentral.
CUACGGGGGGCACCAGUGGGGAAUAUUGGACAAUGGGGGAAACCCUGAUCCAGCAAUGCCGCGUGUGUGAAGAAGGCCUGCGGGUUGUAAAGCACUUUCGGUUGGGAGGACUGCUUCUAGCACUAAUAUUGUUGGAAGUUGACGUUACCUUCAGAAGAAGCACCGGCUAACUCCGUGCCAGCAGCCGCGGUAAUACGGAGGGUGCAAGCGUUAAUCGGAAUUACUGGGCGUAAAGCGCGCGUAGGCGGCUAGAUCAGUCGGGUGUGAAAGCCCCGGGCUUAACCUGGGAACUGCAUCCGAUACUGGCUAGCUUGAGUACAGGAGAGGAGAGUGGAAUCCCACAUGUAGCGGUGAAAUGCGUAGAUAUGUGGAGGAACACCAAUGGCGAAGGCAGCUCUCUGGCCUGAUACUGACGCUGAGGUGCGAAAGCGUGGGGGGCAAACAGGAUUAGAUACCCUCGUAGUC